Hibiscus syriacus is the source of this 436-nucleotide long non-coding RNA. RefSeq lists it as uncharacterized. The transcript is spliced from 3 exons. Lineage: Eukaryota; Viridiplantae; Streptophyta; Magnoliopsida; Malvales; Malvaceae. The record is from RefSeq and is a predicted model, not a curated record.
UAGCCCCUUCCGUUUGUGUAUAAAUGGCGAAGCUUCAACGACUGUUCGUAUUCUUCGUCGUUUGAAAGCUCACUCUCUCCACUCUACCGACGCCUCUAGUCUUCGCAGCUUCUGCCAUCUUCGAACCAUGUCGAGGAGAAAGGUUAGGGAGCCAAAGGAAGAGACUUCGACCCUUGGACCUGCUGUAAGAGAAGGAGAGCAAGUUACGUGCUACGGGAGGGAACAAAACCAAGACCCCUGGUCCUGGUGCUCAGUCCGCUCUCAGGGCACUUGCUCGAUCUGGAAUGAAAAUCGGCCGUAUUGAGGAUGUUACUCCGAUCCCCACCGACAGCACCCGGAGAAAGGGUGGUAGAAGAGGAAGAAGGCUGUAAACUGUGGCACAUUCUAUUCUAGCAUAUUAUUGUCUUUUGGUGGUAUUGCAUUUGGUUACUUGGUG